RNAcentral lists this ribosomal RNA (490 nucleotides) under uncultured bacterium. Its description in RNAcentral is "partial 16S ribosomal RNA". It matches the Rfam family "Bacterial small subunit ribosomal RNA", at positions 28 to 507 of the family's 1533-position model. The record is from RNAcentral.
GAUGAACGCUAGCGGCAGGCCUAAUACAUGCAAGUCGAACGGGAUCCAGAUCAAAGCUUGCUUUGGUCUGGUGAGAGUGGCGCACGGGUGCGUAACGCGUGAGCAACCUACCCUUGUCAGGGGGAUAGCCCGGCGAAAGUCGGACUAAUACCGCAUGACAGCAUUGAGAGGCAUCUUUCGAUGCUCACAGAUUUAUCGGACAAGGAUGGGCUCGCGUGACAUUAGCUAGUUGGUAAGGUAACGGCUUACCAAGGCUGCGAUGUCUAGGGGCUCUGAGAGGAGAAUCCCCCACACUGGUACUGAGACACGGACCAGACUCCUACGGGAGGCAGCAGUAAGGAAUAUUGGUCAAUGGACGGAAGUCUGAACCAGCCCGGCCGUGUGCAGGAAGACGGCCCUACGGGUUGUAAACUGCUUUUAUACGGGAACAAACGUCGGUACGUGUACCGGUCUGAGUGUACCGUACGAAUAAGGAUCGGCUAACUCCGUG